Molecule: long non-coding RNA, 279 nt
Organism: Sinocyclocheilus anshuiensis
Lineage: Eukaryota; Metazoa; Chordata; Actinopteri; Cypriniformes; Cyprinidae
Exons: 2
Source: RefSeq, a predicted model, not a curated record
UGUGCUCAGGCUGCUGUGUCGAGACUCAGGUGGAGAAACUGAGUCCAUGUUACUCAACGAGACGGUCCCGCAGUGGGUCAUCGACAUCACCGUGGACAAAAACAUGCCCAAAUUCAACAAAAUCCCGUUCUACCUCCAGCCCCAUUCGUCCUCCGGAGCAAAAACAUUAAAGAAGUAUGUGUGACCUGUGAUGUUUCCGUGUGAAGCUUCUUAGACAGAGACUGUAGGAUGCAACAGUUGGAUCUUGGUGUAAAAAUCCCUUGAUUUUCUCUAUAGAGA